Long non-coding RNA from Neogale vison (American mink), 772 nucleotides. RefSeq lists it as uncharacterized. The transcript is spliced from 4 exons. The record is from RefSeq and is a predicted model, not a curated record. NCBI's taxonomy places the organism in Eukaryota, Metazoa, Chordata, Mammalia, Carnivora, Mustelidae.
CAGAAAAUAGCACGCCGGGGUACUUCUGCCAGCUCCAUAUGGCCCGGCUUGUUUUCACAGCAAGAAGCGGAAGCUGAAGAAUUUUCCACGUUUCAGCCUGAGCAGAAAAUUACAGAGAAGAGGCGGUGGAAGACAGAAAAACAAGAGAUGAGCAAGAAAGGCAUGAUCCAAGAUUGUCCAAAUUAAUUUAAAGCCCUGUACUUGUAUAGACUAAUUUCCAUGGAGACUCCACCAUUUGGCUUUGCCUUUCUCUGCCUCUAAGAGACUUGGAUCUAGGAAGACCAUAGCAUCAGAGUGAUGCGAGCAAAGGCCCUGCGUCCCGCCAGGAGGCCGCAACAUAAAUGAAAGAAGGGGAGCGAGAGAGAUGGAUGCGAUGUAACUCACUGUAUCUUUAUUGGGACGAGGGUCGCACCGCUAUCGAGGCACGCCAGUCCGCUGAUGUCGCCACGGAGAAGGAGACAUCGCCUCACAAUCUAGACAGAGAGGUCACCGCAGACGUUGAGACUGGGAACCAGCGAGUGGUCGGCCGCGAGACUGUCGGGGCGUCGGCAGCACCGGCGAUGAUGUUCUCCCGACAGGGAACUCGCUUCGCUCAGUCCAACCCGAUGCCUCUUUUUAUGUGCUGUGCUAAGUCUCCUUCAUGAACAUAUCACAUCACUUGUUCAUAUGCUUCCACUCCACAACACACACACACGUAAACAUGUUUUUGCAACAUUUUUGCAAUAUCAUUUCACUGGUCAAAAUAUUUACAGCUCAUUGCUCUACGUUGAUC